AAUGAACGUUGGCGGCGUGGAUUAGGCAUGCAAGUCGAGCGAGAAAUUAAUUGUUGAAGCUUCGGUGGAUUCAGUUAAUGGAAAGCGGCAAACGGCGUAGUAAUGCGUAGGUACGUACCCUCAGGUCGGGAAUAGCCAUGGGAAACCGUGGGUAAUGCCCGAUGAUGUCUUUGGACCAAAGGUGUGAUUCCGCCUGAGGAGCGGCUUACGUGAUAUUAGCUUGUUGGUGGGGUAAUGGCCUACCAAGGCGACGAUGUCUAGGGGGUGUGAGAGCAUGGCCCCCACGACCGGAACUGAGACACUGUCCGGACACCUACGGGUGGCUGCAGUCGAGAAUCUUCCGCAAUGGGCGAAAGCCUGACGGAGCGACGCCGCGUGCGGGAUGAAGGCCCUUGGGUUGUAAACCGCUGUCAGAGGGGAUGAAAUCAUGGUUGGCUAUCCUUCCAUGUUGACAGAGCCUCAGAGGAAGCACGGGCUAAGUACG
RNAcentral lists this ribosomal RNA (484 nucleotides) under uncultured Planctomyces sp. Its description in RNAcentral is "bacterial SSU rRNA". It matches the Rfam family "Bacterial small subunit ribosomal RNA", at positions 29 to 505 of the family's 1533-position model. The record is from RNAcentral. Lineage: Bacteria; Pseudomonadati; Planctomycetota; Planctomycetia; Planctomycetales; Planctomycetaceae.